Molecule: ribosomal RNA, 253 nt
Filed under: uncultured prokaryote
Description: partial 16S ribosomal RNA
Rfam family: Bacterial small subunit ribosomal RNA
Source: RNAcentral
ACGGAGGGUGCAAGCGUUAUCCGGAUUCACUGGGUUUAAAGGGUGCGUAGGUGGGCAGGUAAGUCAGUGGUGAAAUCUCCGGGCUUAACUCGGAAACUGCCAUUGAUACUAUCUGUCUUGAAUAUUGUGGAGGUCAGCGGAAUAUGUCAUGUAGCGGUGAAAUGCUUAGAUAUGACAUAGAACAUCUAUUGCGAAGGCAGCUGGCUACGCAUAUAUUGACACUGAGGCACGAAAGCGUGGGGAUCAAACAGGA